RNAcentral lists this RNase P RNA (403 nucleotides) under Salinigranum rubrum. Its description in RNAcentral is "Halobacteriaceae archaeon GX10 Archaeal RNase P". It matches the Rfam family "Archaeal RNase P". Rfam says of the family: Ribonuclease P (RNase P) is a ubiquitous endoribonuclease, found in archaea, bacteria and eukarya as well as chloroplasts and mitochondria. Its best characterised activity is the generation of mature 5'-ends of tRNAs by cleaving the 5'-leader elements of precursor-tRNAs. The record is from Rfam by way of RNAcentral. Lineage: Archaea; Methanobacteriati; Methanobacteriota; Halobacteria; Halobacteriales; Haloferacaceae.
GGCAGAGAGAGCCCGGUUCCCGUGGCCGCACCGGCGGCCAUGAGGAAAGUCCCCCACCGUCCGGACAGGUGACCGGGCGCAAGCCCGGAGUCGGAGACGGCUGGCUCUGGAACAGAAACGAGACCCCUCGAUCCGACCGAUGAGGUGUGCGAACCCGACCGCAAGGGAGGGGAGUUGACCCACCGAGGGCCGCGAGGGACUCCGUCCCUCGUCUGCGAGCGGGCGCCGCCCGCGAGCCGCGGGUCGAGAACGGAUGGAACGGCGAAUCCUCACCGGUGCAAGUCCGCGCCGUCAAGGUAGUCCGGACAGCACGCCAGCGGCGUGCCCCCGGAGUCGUCCGGGGAGGACGCGGACGCUCAGCUGAAUGCCGGGACGAACAGAAGGGGGCUUACUCCUCUCAGCC